Molecule: ribosomal RNA, 253 nt
Filed under: uncultured bacterium
Lineage: Bacteria
Description: partial 16S ribosomal RNA
Rfam family: Bacterial small subunit ribosomal RNA
Source: RNAcentral
CGGAGGGUGCAAGCGUUGUCCGGAUUUAUUGGGUUUAAAGGGUGCGUAGGCGGCCCGGUAAGUCAGUGGUGAAAGCCUCCAGCUCAACUGGAGAACUGCCAUUGAUACUGCCGGGCUUGAGUACAGACGAGGUUGGCGGAAUUGAUUGUGUAGCGGUGAAAUGCAUAGAUACAAUCAAGAACUCCGAUUGCGUAGGCAGCUAACUAGGCUGUAACUGACGCUGAGGCACGAAAGCGUGGGAGCGAACAGGAUU